This 646-nucleotide ribosomal RNA is filed under the name uncultured bacterium. RNAcentral describes it as "bacterial SSU rRNA". It matches the Rfam family "Bacterial small subunit ribosomal RNA", at positions 229 to 888 of the family's 1533-position model. The record is from RNAcentral.
AUUCGCGGCCUAUCAGCUUGUUGGUGAGGUAACGGCUCACCAAGGCAUCGACGGGUAGCUGGUCUGAGAGGACGAUCAGCCACACUGGAACUGAGACACGGUCCAGACUCCUACGGGAGGCAGCAGCAGGGAAUAUUGCACAAUGGGCGAAAGCCUGAUGCAGCAACGCCGCGUGAGGGAUGACGGCCUUCGGGUUGUAAACCUCUUUCAGGAGGGAAGAAAUUGACGGUACCUCCAAAAGAAGCCCCGGCUAACUACGUGCCAGCAGCCGCGGUAAUACGUAGGGGGCGAGCGUUGUCCGGAUUUAUUGGGCGUAAAGAGCUCGUAGGCGGCUCAGUAAGUCGGCUGUGAAAGUCCGGGGCUCAACCCCGGGACGCCGGUCGAUACUGCUGUGGCUAGGGUCCGGUAGAGGAGAGUGGAAUUCCCGGUGUAGCGGUGAAAUGCGCAGAUAUCGGGAGGAACACCAGUAGCGAAAGCGGCUCUCUGGGCCGGUACCGACGCUGAGGAGCGAAAGCUAGGGGAGCAAACAGGAUUAGAUACCCUGGUAGUCCUAGCCGUAAACGUUGGGCACUAGGUGUGGCGGAUUCAUUGACAUCUGCCGUGCCGAAGCUAACGCAUUAAGUGCCCCGCCUGGGGAGUACGGAAU